GAGUUUGAUCGUGGCUCAGGACGAACGCUGGCGGCGUGCUUAACACAUGCAAGUCGAACGGAAAGGCCCUUCGGGGUACUCGAGUGGCGAACGGGUGAGUAACACGUGAGUAACCUGCCCUGGACUUUGGGAUAACCCUCGGAAACGGGGGCUAAUACCGGAUAUGACUUCGGCCGGCAUCGGUUGGGGUGGAAAGUUUUUCGGUCUGGGAUGGGCUCGCGGCCUAUCAGCUUGUUGGUGGGGUGAUGGCCUACCAAGGCGACGACGGGUAGCCGGCCUGAGAGGGCGACCGGCCACACUGGGACUGAGACACGGCCCAGACUCCUACGGGAGGCAGCAGUGGGGAAUAUUGCACAAUGGGCGGAAGCCUGAUGCAGCGACGCCGCGUGAGGGAUGAAGGCCUUCGGGUUGUAAACCU
RNAcentral lists this ribosomal RNA (418 nucleotides) under uncultured Actinomycetes bacterium. RNAcentral describes it as "bacterial SSU rRNA". It matches the Rfam family "Bacterial small subunit ribosomal RNA", at positions 9 to 432 of the family's 1533-position model. The record is from RNAcentral. Lineage: Bacteria; Bacillati; Actinomycetota; Actinomycetes.